GUACACGCUGUGACUAGCAUAUCAAUAAGCGGAGGAAAAGAAACUAACAAGGAUUCCCCUAGUAACGGCGAGUGAAGCGGGAAGAGCUCAAAUUUGAAAUCUUAAAGGGUUUCCCUUUACGAAUUGUAGUUUAAAGAAGUGUUUUCUGUUGAGGUUUUGGUAAAAGUUCUUUGGAAUAGGACAUCAUAGAGGGUGAGAAUCCCGUAUUUGACCUUUACUUUCAACUUUGUGAUACACUUUCAAAGAGUCGGAUUGUUUGGGAAUGCAGUCCAAAAUGGGUGGUAAAUUUCAUCUAAAGCUAAAUAUUGGCGAGAGACCGAUAGCGAACAAGUACCGUGAGGGAACGAUGAAAAGAACUUUGAAAAGAGAGUUAAACAGUACGUGAAAUUGUCAAAAGGGAAGCGUUUGACACCAGUGUUGUUUUUCUGAAAAUCAAUUAAAGAACUGUUUAUGCUAAGUUGUUUAGACUUUAUCAGCUAUCUGUUUAGUUUUGAGCUUUUCUUUAAUGCACUUUUCAGUUAACAAGUCAACAUCAAUUUCUUUUGCUGUAAAAAAGCUUGAGGAAGGUGGCUUGAGAUCCGUCUUAAGUGUUUAUAGCCUCUUGCCUAUGCAGUCGGAGAGAUUGAGGUCUGCAGCGUAGAUCCUUCGGGGCUAAAUGCAUUUGUGCUAAGUUAUAGCAUUUUAUAGACAACUUGUUGACUAUGAUUUGUCUUGUAGCUUACUCGCUUAUGUUAUUUUACCUACGCUUAGGAUGUUGAAGAUGUAGCACAUCAU
RNAcentral lists this ribosomal RNA (774 nucleotides) under uncultured Neocallimastigales. Its description in RNAcentral is "partial large subunit ribosomal RNA". It matches the Rfam family "Eukaryotic large subunit ribosomal RNA", at positions 22 to 635 of the family's 3401-position model. Lineage: Eukaryota; Fungi; Neocallimastigomycota; Neocallimastigomycetes; Neocallimastigales. The record is from RNAcentral.